This 331-nucleotide ribosomal RNA is filed under the name uncultured eukaryote. RNAcentral's name for it is "partial 18S ribosomal RNA". It matches the Rfam family "Eukaryotic small subunit ribosomal RNA", at positions 1470 to 1796 of the family's 1831-position model. The record is from RNAcentral.
CCCUUAGAUGUUCUGGGCCGCACGCGCGCUACACUGUUCGACGCAGCGAGUCUUAACCUUGACCGAAAGGUUUGGGUAAUCUUCAGCAAAGUCGAACGUGAUGGGGAUCGAUCAUUGCAAUUAUUGAUCGUGAACGAGGAAUUCCUAGUAAGUGCAAGUCAUCAGCUUGCGCUGAUUACGUCCCUGCCCUUUGUACACACCGCCCGUCGCUACUACCGAUUGAAUGGUUUAGUGAGAUCUCUGGAUUGACGCUGGCUAGGGGGCGACCCUUGGCCAGACUGUUGAGAAACUGCUCAAACUUGAUCAUUUAGAGGAAGUAAAAGACGUAACA